This 1008-nucleotide non-coding RNA is filed under the name Pan troglodytes (chimpanzee). Lineage: Eukaryota; Metazoa; Chordata; Mammalia; Primates; Hominidae. The record is from RNAcentral.
CUGCUACAGGGGCUCCCAGCGGCCUCCCGCACCGAAGGGACCCUGGGCGUCUGAGGCCCUGAUCCGGGCGGGCCUUCAGGAUGUUAGCAGUCCCUGUCCGGUUGAAGGUAGGAAGCCGAAAACCCGAGUGGGGGACGAACAGACUUACCUCCUGUCCCGCAAAAGAUCCACUAGAUCGUCGUCUCCAAAACCUGAGAGACCGCGAACGGAUUCCAGAGCCGCAGCGUUCUCUCAGACCUGGCGUUCAGAAAGAUUCUAGAGAGCACGGGCAGGUCCCGGAGGUCUCAGACCCGCAGGCCUGCGGGGCGGGGGCGGGGGCGGGGGCGGGGUGGCGCCCAGGACGACUCCCCAGGCUCAGCUUGGCUGCCUGCCUCCUUCUGUAAGUGCUUUUUUUUUCUUCACCUGGGACCCUCUAGAGGUUGGAAAGAGAAGAGAGGCUGGGAGCGGAUGGAAAGCAUGACUGCAUCUGGAGCCCCUGGGGGGAGUGGGGAAGAGGGAGUGGAAGGACAGUGGCUGAGGGGCUUCCUGUUGCAGCCUUCAGCUGGACUCAGGGUUGGGGUCACUGGAGGAGGAGGUGGCUUCCUGCCCCAUUUUCUGGACUGCAGUGUUUCUUGGGAAUACUUACUGUAUGUGGAUUUUCAGUAACCAACUUGGAAAGCUGUAUUUGUUCCCAUGAUUCAGCAAACAAUGAGUACCUACUGUGUGCAGAAGCAGCAGGACAGCCUGUCAUCACUGGGAAAGAGGCCAGAAGAGCCAUUUGGCCAGGGUCUCCAAUUUAGGCUUUCAACAUUAUCUCUAAAGAAGGUUAUACAUUAUGUCGGCUCCACUGGCUGAUGGGAUCAAAGACCCUCCUUGUAUAUCCUUAAACCUGUACUCUAUUACCAGGCCACUGUGCCUGUGGAGCACUGUAAGUUCCUACCUUUUAAUAAAUUUUAUAAUUAUCUUGUGAGCAGCACAAUUGUCAUAGUUUUUUGUAUCAGAAACAUUAAUUUGUUAAACAUUUUAAAG